This 523-nucleotide long non-coding RNA is filed under the name Vombatus ursinus (common wombat). Its description in RNAcentral is "lncRNA (ENSVURG00010009258.1)". The record is from RNAcentral. Lineage: Eukaryota; Metazoa; Chordata; Mammalia; Diprotodontia; Vombatidae.
GCCACAGCUAUUGAAGACCUAGAAAAGAAAAUUCUCACCACCAAGAUCCCUGGUACUGUUUAAUGGUUAGAAGCGGGCUGUCACUAGUUCCUCUGCAAAAGCCUGAAGAUCAUGGCAUUCAAAGCCUAACUUUUAGAGCACAGAGUUCUGGAUCUGAAAUGGUUGUCCUCUUCGUGUCCUUACCCAGGUGAUGAAAGCACCUUCCCUUGUGUGAAGUAAACAUGGCCUAUUGCUCUUGGCAUUAUUAGCUGUUUUUACUGUUGUUUUUUCUUCUGUGGAAAGCUCCAUGUCCCCCAAAGCCCAGGAAGUUCAGAAGGCAAUGUCAAACUGGAGGAACUGAAACCAUUAAAACUUGUGACAACCGAAUUCUCCACUGGUGAUCUUCUCUUCUCAAGGAGCCCUUUAGUACAAGGGGGUUUCGGAGCAGCUCUUCAGAUGUGGCCUCAAGUAAUUUGGGUUUGUUUGGCUCAGCCCCAUUCCUCAAUGUGUGGGACAAUAUUCAUGGAAUUCCAGUCGCCUAUAA